Molecule: ribosomal RNA, 253 nt
Filed under: uncultured bacterium
Lineage: Bacteria
Description: partial 16S ribosomal RNA
Rfam family: Bacterial small subunit ribosomal RNA
Source: RNAcentral
UACGUAGGGUGCAAGCGUUGUCCGGAAUUAUUGGGCGUAAAGAGCUCGUAGGCGGUCUGUCGCGUCGGCUGUGAAAACCCGGGGCUCAACCCCGGGCCUGCAGUCGAUACGGGCAGACUAGAGUGCGGUAGGGGAGACUGGAAUUCCUGGUGUAGCGGUGAAAUGCGCAGAUAUCAGGAGGAACACCGGUGGCGAAGGCGGGUCUCUGGGCCGUAACUGACGCUGAGGAGCGAAAGCUAGGGGAGCAAACAGG